GACGAACGCUGGCGGCGUGCUUAACACAUGCAAGUCGAACGGAAAGGCCUGCUUUCCCUUGUGGGUUGCGGGUACUCGAGUGGCGAACGGGUGAGUAACACGUGAGUGAUCUGCCCCCAACUUGGGUAUAAGCCUGGGAAACUGGGUCUAAUUCCCGAUAGGACUGCAGGGUGGUGCCUGUGGUGGAAAACGAUUUUCUAGUGGUUGGGGAUGAGCUCGCGGCCUAUCAGCUUGUUGGUGGGGUAAUGGCCUACCAAGGCGGCGACGGGUAGCCGGCCUGGGAGGGUGGACGGCGACAUUGGGACUGAGAUACGGCCCAGACUCCUACGGGAGGCAGCAGUGGGGAAUAUUGCACAAUGGGCGGAAGCCUGAUGCAGCGACGCCGCGUGGGGGAUGACGGCCUUCGGGUUGUAAACUCCUUUCGACCGCGAGGAAGCCACCUGGUUGGAAGGGUGGUGACGGUAGUGGUAGAAGAAGCACCGGCUAACUACGUG
RNAcentral lists this ribosomal RNA (494 nucleotides) under uncultured bacterium. Its description in RNAcentral is "partial 16S ribosomal RNA". It matches the Rfam family "Bacterial small subunit ribosomal RNA", at positions 28 to 507 of the family's 1533-position model. The record is from RNAcentral.